This 301-nucleotide ribosomal RNA is filed under the name uncultured bacterium. Its description in RNAcentral is "partial 16S ribosomal RNA". It matches the Rfam family "Bacterial small subunit ribosomal RNA", at positions 509 to 809 of the family's 1533-position model. The record is from RNAcentral.
CAGUAGCCACGGUAAUACAGAGGGUGCGAGCGUUAAUCGGAUUUACUGGGCGUAAAGCGUGCGUAGGCGGCUUCUUAAGUCGGAUGUGAAAUCCCUGAGCUUAACUUAGGAAUUGCAUUCGAUACUGGGAAGCUAGAGUAUGGGAGAGGAUGGUAGAAUUCCAGGUGUAGCGGUGAAAUGCGUAGAGAUCUGGAGGAAUACCGAUGGCGAAGGCAGCCAUCUGGCCUAAUACUGACGCUGAGGUACGAAAGCAUGGGGAGCAAACAGGAUUAGAUACCCCAGUAGUCCUGUCUCUUAUACA